RNAcentral lists this transfer RNA (72 nucleotides) under Marmota monax (woodchuck). It matches the Rfam family "tRNA". Rfam says of the family: Transfer RNA (tRNA) molecules are approximately 80 nucleotides in length. Their secondary structure includes four short double-helical elements and three loops (D, anti-codon, and T loops). The record is from Rfam by way of RNAcentral. Lineage: Eukaryota; Metazoa; Chordata; Mammalia; Rodentia; Sciuridae.
UGGGAUGUGGCUCAGUGAUAGAGUACUUGCCUAGCAUGUGUGAGGCACUGGGUUGGAUUCUCAGCACCACAU